RNAcentral lists this ribosomal RNA (1577 nucleotides) under Omnitrophica WOR_2 bacterium RIFCSPHIGHO2_01_FULL_49_10. RNAcentral describes it as "bacterial SSU rRNA". It matches the Rfam family "Bacterial small subunit ribosomal RNA". Lineage: Bacteria; Pseudomonadati; Candidatus Omnitrophota. RNAcentral also lists the same sequence under 1 other name. The record is from RNAcentral.
UUGGAGAGUUUGAUCCUGGCUCAGAGUGAACGCUGGCGGCGUGGUUUAGGCAUGCAAGUCGAGCGGAUCCAGAUUGACUUGAGUGGCCGCAAGGCUGCGAGAGUUGGUCUAGAUUAGCGGCAAACGGGUGAGUAACACGCGGGUAAUCUACCUUUGAGACCGGCAUAACACUUGGAAACGGGUGCUAAUUCCGGGUAAGACCACGGCAUCGCAUGGUGCUGUGAGAAUAGGCGGGGAACCGUAAGGUCCUGCCACUCGAAGAUGAGCCCACGUCCUAUCAGCUAGUUGGUGGGGUAAUGGCCUACCAAGGCGACGACGGGUAGCUGGACUGAGAGGUCGGUCAGCCACACUGGGACUGAGACACUGCCCAGACUCCUACGGGAGGCUGCAGUCGAGGAUCUUUUGCAAUGGGCGAAAGCCUGACAAUGCGACGCCGCGUGAGGGAUGAAGGUUUUCGGAUCGUAAACCUCUGUCGAGGGGGAUGAUGGUACUUGACAUUAAUAAUGUCAAGUAUUGACAGUACCCUUGAAGGAAGCCACGGCUAACUCCGUGCCAGCAGCCGCGGUAAUACGGAGGUGGCAAGCGUUACUCGGAUUUAUUGGGUGUAAAGGGCUUGUAGGCGGUUACGUAAGUUGAGUGUGAAAUCCCACGGCUUAACCGUGGAACUGCACUCAAAACUGCGCGACUUGGGUAUGGGAGAGGAGAAUGGAAUUCCCGGUGUAAGGGUGAAAUCUGUGGAUAUCGGGAGGAACACCAGUGGCGAAGGCGAUUCUCUGGCCCAUUACCGACGCUGAGAAGCGAAAGCGUGGGGAGCAAACAGGAUUAGAUACCCUGGUAGUCCACGCUGUAAACGAUGAGCACUAGGUGUCGGCCCCUUCGGGGUCGGUGCCGCAGUUAACACAUUAAGUGCUCCACCUGGGGACUACGACCGCAAGGUUGAAACUCAAAGGAAUUGACGGGGGCCCGCACAAGCGGUGGAACAUGUGGUUCAAUUCGACGCUACGCGAAGAACCUUACCAAGGUUUGACAUGUAAGUGGUAGUGAAGCGAAAGCGGAACGAUCCGCCGAAAGGCGGAAGCUUACACAGGUGUUGCAUGGCUGUCGUCAGCUCGUGUCGUGAGAUGUUGGGUUAAGUCCCGCAACGAGCGCAACCCUUAUUUUUAGUUGCUACUCGCAAGAGAGCACUCUAGAGAGACUGCCUCCGAUGAGGAGGAGGAAGGCGGGGACGACGUCAAGUCAGUAUGGCCCUUAUACCUUGGGCUACACACGUGUUACAAUGGAGUGUACAGAGAGAUGCAAGUCCGUAAGGCGGAGCUAAUCUCUAAAGCAUUCCCCAGUUCAGAUUGAGGGCUGCAAUCCGCCCUCAUGAAGCCGGAAUCGCUAGUAAGCGCGGAUCAGCUACGCCGCGCUGAAUACGUUCCCGGGCCUUGUACACACCGCCCGUCAAGCCAACCGAGUCAGCUGCACCCGAAGAUCCGCGCAAGCGGGUCGAAGGUGUGACUGGUGAGGAGGGCUAAGUCGUAACAAGGCAGCCGUACCGGAAGGUGUGGCUGGAUCACCUCCUUUCUAAGGAGUAA